This 73-nucleotide transfer RNA is filed under the name Felis catus (domestic cat). It matches the Rfam family "tRNA". From Rfam's summary of the family: Transfer RNA (tRNA) molecules are approximately 80 nucleotides in length. Their secondary structure includes four short double-helical elements and three loops (D, anti-codon, and T loops). Lineage: Eukaryota; Metazoa; Chordata; Mammalia; Carnivora; Felidae. The record is from Rfam by way of RNAcentral.
GCCUGGCUGGCUCAGUGGGUAGAGCAUAUGACUCUUGAUCUUGGGAUCGUGGGUUCGAGCCCCACAUUGGGUG